GAAACAACCCAGACCGCCAGCUAAGGUCCCAAAGUCAUGGUUAAGUGGGAAACGAUGUGGGAAGGCCCAGACAGCCAGGAUGUUGGCUUAGAAGCAGCCAUCAUUUAAAGAAAGCGUAAUAGCUCACUGGUCGAGUCGGCCUGCGCGGAAGAUGUAACGGGGCUAAACCAUGCACCGAAGCUGCGGCAGCGAACGUAUCACCCAAGACAACUUUACGGAGUUGACGAUUGACGGAGCGAAGCGACGUCAAAGCGUUCAUUAAAGUCGAGUUGGCUUAGGGAUACGUUCGUUGGGUAGGGGAGCGUUCUGUAAGCCUGUGAAGGUGGCCUGUGAGGGUUGCUGGAGGUAUCAGAAGUGCGAAUGCUGACAUAAGUAACGAUAAUGCGGGUGAAAAACCCGCACGCCGGAAGACCAAGGGUUCCUGUCCAACGUUAAUCGGGGCAGGGUGAGUCGACCCCUAAGGCGAGGCCGAAAGGCGUAGUCGAUGGGAAACAGGUUAAUAUUCCUGUACUUGGUGUUACUGCGAAGGGGGGACGGAGAAGGCUAUGUUAGCCGGGCGACGGUUGUCCCGGUUUAAGCAUGUAGGCGGAGGUUCCAGGUAAAUCCGGUACCUUAUUAACGCUGAGGUGUGAUGACGAGGCACUACGGUGCUGAAG
Molecule: ribosomal RNA, 656 nt
Filed under: Salmonella enterica
Lineage: Bacteria; Pseudomonadati; Pseudomonadota; Gammaproteobacteria; Enterobacterales; Enterobacteriaceae
Description: partial 23S ribosomal RNA
Rfam family: Bacterial large subunit ribosomal RNA
Source: RNAcentral